AUGGCCAGGGCUCUGGUUUUCCUUAUCAUUCUCAGUUACUGCUCAGGUGUCAUUUCACAGCCAACAUUGACUCAGCCGGCCACUCUGUCUGUGUCCCCGGGAGAAACAGCUAAACUCUCCUGCACCAUCAGCAGUAAUUCAUACUACACAGGCUGCCUUCAACAGAAACCUGGACAGGGCCCCCGCUAUGUGCAUGGUGAUGGGAACAAUAGGGGAGAAGGGAUCCCAGACCGAUUCACUGCUUCCUGCUCUGGGAACACGGCCUCUUUAACCAUCACCGGCAUUCAGGCUGAAGAUGAGGCUGAUUAUUACUGUGCAAUGUGGUCCACCAGUGUUAGCAUGUUUCACAGUGGUGUCCAUUCGCAACCAACUUUGACCCAGCCUGGCUCCCAGUUUGUGUCCCUGGGACAAACAGCAAAUCUCCCCUGCACCAUCAGCAGUGACCAAAACUUCAUUCACUGGUAUCAGCAGAAAUCUGGACGAGCGCCUCGCUUUCUACACUGUGAUGGUUGCAGCAGCAGAGGACCAGGAAUCCCAGACCGAUUCACUGGUUCCCGCUCUGGGAACAUGGGCUAUUUAACCAUCACCAACAUCCAGGCUGAAGAUGAAGCUGAUUAUUACUGUGCAAUGUGGUAUAGAAGAGGUAGCAUGUUUCACAGUGGUAAAUUCUAA
This is a non-coding RNA of Elgaria multicarinata webbii, 672 nucleotides long. NCBI's taxonomy places the organism in Eukaryota, Metazoa, Chordata, Lepidosauria, Squamata, Anguidae. The record is from the annotation of a RefSeq genome assembly.